RNAcentral lists this transfer RNA (81 nucleotides) under Sundasciurus hippurus (horse-tailed squirrel). Its description in RNAcentral is "tRNA-Gln". It matches the Rfam family "tRNA". From Rfam's summary of the family: Transfer RNA (tRNA) molecules are approximately 80 nucleotides in length. Their secondary structure includes four short double-helical elements and three loops (D, anti-codon, and T loops). Further hydrogen bonds mediate the characteristic L-shaped molecular structure. tRNAs have two regions of fundamental functional importance: the anti-codon, which is responsible for specific mRNA codon recognition, and the 3' end, to which the tRNAs corresponding amino acid is attached (by aminoacyl-tRNA synthetases). tRNAs cope with the degeneracy of the genetic code in two manners: having more than one tRNA (with a specific anti-codon) for a particular amino acid; and 'wobble' base-pairing, i.e. permitting non-standard base-pairing at the 3rd anti-codon position. The record is from RNAcentral. Lineage: Eukaryota; Metazoa; Chordata; Mammalia; Rodentia; Sciuridae.
UAGAAUAUGGUGUAAGAGGGUAGCACGAAGAAUUUUGAGUUCUUAGGAUUAGGUUCGAAUCCUACGGUUCUAGAAGUUUAG